GAACGCUAGCUACAGGCUUAACACAUGCAGGUCGAGGGGCAUCAGGAAGAAAGCUUGCUUUCUUUGCUGGCGACCGGCGCACGGGUGAGUAACACGUAUCCAACCUGCCCUUUACUCGGGGAUAGCCUUUCGAAAGAAAGAUUAAUACCCGAUAGCAUAAUGAUUCCGCAUGGUUUCAUUAUUAAAGGAUUCCGGUAAAGGAUGGGGAUGCGUUCCAUUAGGUUGUUGGUGAGGUAACGGCCCACCAAGCCUUCGAUGGAUAGGGGUUCUGAGAGGAAGGUCCCCCACAUUGGAACUGAGACACGGUCCAAACUCCUACGGGAGGCAGCAGUGAGGAAUAUUGGUCAAUGGGCGCUAGCCUGAACCAGCCAAGUAGCGUGAAGGAUGAAGGCUCUAUGGGUCGUAAACUUCUUUUAUAUAAGAAUAAAGUGCAGUAUGUAUACUGUUUUGUAUGUAUUAUAUGAAUAAGGAUCGGCUAACUCCGUGCCAGCAGCCGCGGUAAUACGGAGGAUCCGAGCGUUAUCCGGAUUUAUUGGGUUUAAAGGGAGCGUAGGUGGACUGGUAAGUCAGUUGUGAAAGUUUGCGGCUCAACCGUAAAAUUGCAGUUGAUACUGUCAGUCUUGAGUACAGUAGAGGUGGGCGGAAUUCGUGGUGUAGCGGUGAAAUGCUUAGAUAUCACGAAGAACUCCGAUUGCGAAGGCAGCUCACUGGACUGCAACUGACACUGAUGCUCGAAAGUGUGGGUAUCAAACAGGAUUAGAUACCCUGGUAGUCCACACAGUAAACGAUGAAUACUCGCUGUUUGCGAUAUACAGUAAGCGGCCAAGCGAAAGCAUUAAGUAUUCCACCUGGGGAGUACGCCGGCAACGGUGAAACUCAAAGGAAUUGACGGGGGCCCGCACAAGCGGAGGAACAUGUGGUUUAAUUCGAUGAUACGCGAGGAACCUUACCCGGGCUUAAAUUGCAGUGGAAUGAUGUGGAAACAUGUCAGUGAGCAAUCACCGCUGUGAAGGUGCUGCAUGGUUGUCGUCAGCUCGUGCCGUGAGGUGUCGGCUUAAGUGCCAUAACGAGCGCAACCCUUAUCUUCAGUUACUAACAGGUCAUGCUGAGGACUCUGGAGAGACUGCCGUCGUAAGAUGUGAGGAAGGUGGGGAUGACGUCAAAUCAGCACGGCCCUUACGUCCGGGGCUACACACGUGUUACAAUGGGGGGUACAGAAGGCAGCUAGCGGGUGACCGUAUGCUAAUCCCAAAAGCCUCUCUCAGUUCGGAUCGAAGUCUGCAACCCGACUUCGUGAAGCUGGAUUCGCUAGUAAUCGCGCAUCAGCCACGGCGCGGUGAAUACGUUCCCGGGCCUUGUACACACCGCCCGUCAAGCCAUGGGAGCCGGGGGUACCUGAAGUACGUAACCGCAAGGAUCGUCCUAGGGUAAAACUGGUGACUGGGGC
RNAcentral lists this ribosomal RNA (1447 nucleotides) under uncultured organism. RNAcentral describes it as "SSU rRNA". It matches the Rfam family "Bacterial small subunit ribosomal RNA". The record is from RNAcentral.